GAUGAACGCUGGCGGCGUGCCUAAUACAUGCAAGUCGAGCGAACGGACGAGAAGCUUGCUUUUCUGAUGUUAGCGGCGGACGGGUGAGUAACACGUGGAUAACCUACCUAUAAGACUGGGAUAACUUCGGGAAACCGGAGCUAAUACCGGAUAAUAUUUUGAACCGCAUGGUUCAAAAGUGAAAGACGGUCUUGCUGUCACUUAUAGAUGGAUCCGCGCUGCAUUAGCUAGUUGGUAAGGUAACGGCUUACCAAGGCAACGAUGCAUAGCCGACCUGAGAGGGUGAUCGGCCACACUGGAACUGAGACACGGUCCAGACUCCUACGGGAGGCAGCAGUAGGGAAUCUUCCGCAAUGGGCGAAAGCCUGACGGAGCAACGCCGCGUGAGUGAUGAAGGUCUUCGGAUCGUAAAACUCUGUUAUUAGGGAAGAACAUAUGUGUAAGUAACUGUGCACAUCUUGACGGUACCUAAUCAGAAAGCCACGGCUAACUACGUGCCAGCAGCCGCGGUAAUACGUAGGUGGCAAGCGUUAUCCGGAAUUAUUGGGCGUAAAGCGCGCGUAGGCGGUUUUUUAAGUCUGAUGUGAAAGCCCACGGCUCAACCGUGGAGGGUCAUUGGAAACUGGAAAACUUGAGUGCAGAAGAGGAAAGUGGAAUUCCAUGUGUAGCGGUGAAAUGCGCAGAGAUGUGGAGGAACACCAGUGGCGAAGGCGACUUUCUGGUCUGUAACUGACGCUGAUGUGCGAAAGCGUGGGGAUCAAACAGGAUUAGAUACCCUGGUAGUCCACGCCGUAAACGAUGAGUGCUAAGUGUUAGGGGGUUUCCGCCCCCUAGUGCUGCAGCUAACGCAUUAAGCACUCCGCCUGGGGAGUACGACCGCAAGGUUGAAACUCAAAGGAAUUGACGGGGGCCCGCACAAGCGGUGGAGCAUGUGGUUUAAUUCGAAGCAACGCGAAGAACCUUACCAAAUCUUGACAUCCUUUGACAACUCUAGAGAUAGAGCCUUCCCCUUCGGGGGACAAAGUGACAGGUGGUGCAUGGUUGUCGUCAGCUCGUGUCGUGAGAUGUUGGGUUAAGUCCCGCAACGAGCGCAACCCUUAAGCUUAGUUGCCAUCAUUAAGUUGGGCACUCUAAGUUGACUGCCGGUGACAAACCGGAGGAAGGUGGGGAUGACGUCAAAUCAUCAUGCCCCUUAUGAUUUGGGCUAUACACGUGCUACAAUGGACAAUACAAAGGGCAGCGAAACCGCGAGGUCAAGCAAAUCCCAUAAAGUUGUUCUCAGUUCGGAUUGUAGUCUGCAACUCGACUACAUGAAGCUGGAAUCGCUAGUAAUCGUAGGUCAGCAUGCUACGGUGAAUACGUUCCCGGGUCU
This 1372-nucleotide ribosomal RNA is filed under the name uncultured bacterium. RNAcentral's name for it is "bacterial SSU rRNA". It matches the Rfam family "Bacterial small subunit ribosomal RNA", at positions 28 to 1381 of the family's 1533-position model. The record is from RNAcentral.